Molecule: ribosomal RNA, 253 nt
Filed under: uncultured bacterium
Lineage: Bacteria
Description: partial 16S ribosomal RNA
Rfam family: Bacterial small subunit ribosomal RNA
Source: RNAcentral
UACGGAGGGGGCUAGCGUUGUUCGGAAUUACUGGGCGUAAAGCGCGCGUAGGCGGGCUGUUAAGUCGGGGGUGAAAUCCCGGUGCUCAACCCCGGGACUGCCUUCGAUACUGGCAGCCUAGAGGAAGGCAGAGGCUAGUGGAAUGGCGAGUGUAGAGGUGAAAUUCGUAGAUAUUCGCCGGAACACCAGUGGCGAAGGCGACUGGCUGGGCCUUUUUUGACGCUGAGGUGCGAAAGCGUGGGGAGCAAACAGG